UUAACCCAUAUAAAUAGGCAAUCGGCGUAAAGAGUGUUUAGGAUAUAAAAAUAAUGAAAUUAAAAAAUAAUUUAGCUGUAAAAAGCUCAAAUUAUAUAUCAAAAAUCAACUACUAAAGUGUUUUCAUAAAUUCUUAUUACACGUGAGCUAAGACCCAAACUAGGAUUAGAUACCCUAUUAUGCUUAGCCCUAAACUUAAAUAAUUUACUAACAAAAUUAUACGCCAGAGAACUACGAGCCACAGCUUAAAACUCAAAGGACUUGGCGGUGCUUUAUACCCCCUAGAGGAGCCUGUUCUGUAAUCGAUACACCCCGAUCAACCUUACCAAUCUUUGCUAAUUCAGCCUUUAUACCGCCAUCUUCAGCUAACCCUAAAAAGGGAAAAAAGUAAGCGCAAUAAUCUAAAACGUAAAUAAGUUAGGUCAAGGUGCAGCCUAUAGAUUGGAAUUGAAAUGGGCUACAUUCUUUUUCUAAAAGCAUAACGGAAACUUCCAUGAAAUUGAAAGUUGAAGGAGGAUUUAGCAGUAAAUUAAGAGUAGAGUGCUUAAUUGAACUUGGCAAUGAAGCAUGCACACACCGCCCGUCACCCUCUUCAA
This 596-nucleotide ribosomal RNA is filed under the name Paraechinus aethiopicus (desert hedgehog). RNAcentral describes it as "partial 12S ribosomal RNA". It matches the Rfam family "Bacterial small subunit ribosomal RNA", at positions 534 to 1409 of the family's 1533-position model. The record is from RNAcentral. Lineage: Eukaryota; Metazoa; Chordata; Mammalia; Eulipotyphla; Erinaceidae.